Molecule: ribosomal RNA, 484 nt
Filed under: uncultured bacterium
Lineage: Bacteria
Description: partial 16S ribosomal RNA
Rfam family: Bacterial small subunit ribosomal RNA
Source: RNAcentral
AUUGAACGCUGGCGGCAGGCCUAACACAUGCAAGUCGAGCGGAUGAAGGGAGCUUGCUCCUGGAUUCAGCGGCGGACGGGUGAGUAAUGCCUAGGAAUCUGCCUGGUCGUGGGGGAUAACGUCCGGAAACGGGCGCUAAUACCGCAUACGUCCUGAGGGAGAAAGUGGGGGAUCUUCGGACCUCACGCUAUCAGAUGAGCCUAGGUCGGAUUAGCUAGUUGGUGGGGUAAAGGCCUACCAAGGCGACGAUCCGUAACUGGUCUGAGAGGAUGAUCAGUCACACUGGAACUGAGACACGGUCCAGACUCCUACGGGAGGCAGCAGUGGGGAAUAUUGGACAAUGGGCGAAAGCCUGAUCCAGCCAUGCCGCGUGUGUGAAGAAGGUCUUCGGAUUGUAAAGCACUUUAAGUUGGGAGGAAGGGCAGUAAGUUAAUACCUUGCUGUUUUGACGUUACCAACAGAAUAAGCACCGGCUAACCUCGUG